RNAcentral lists this signal recognition particle RNA (99 nucleotides) under Candidatus Delongbacteria bacterium. RNAcentral describes it as "signal recognition particle sRNA small type". It matches the Rfam family "Bacterial small signal recognition particle RNA". From Rfam's summary of the family: The signal recognition particle (SRP) is a universally conserved ribonucleoprotein involved in the co-translational targeting of proteins to membranes. Archaeal SRP consists of a 7S RNA and homologues of the eukaryotic SRP19 and SRP54 proteins. In most bacteria, the SRP consists of a 4.5S RNA and the Ffh protein (a homologue of the eukaryotic SRP54 protein). Lineage: Bacteria; Candidatus Delongiibacteriota. The record is from RNAcentral.
CCCAGGCACCGUCGCAAUGGAAUCCACCCAACCCCGCCAGGGCCGGAAGGCAGCAACGGCAAGUGGCACUUUCAUGUGUUGACGGCUCUGCCUGGAUGG